Molecule: transfer RNA, 61 nt
Filed under: Rattus norvegicus (Norway rat)
Lineage: Eukaryota; Metazoa; Chordata; Mammalia; Rodentia; Muridae
Rfam family: tRNA
About the family: Transfer RNA (tRNA) molecules are approximately 80 nucleotides in length.
Source: Rfam by way of RNAcentral
GGGGAUUUAGCUCAGUGGUAGAGCACUUGCCUAGCACCCAAGGCCCUGGGUUCAGUCCUCA